This 591-nucleotide ribosomal RNA is filed under the name uncultured Burkholderia sp. RNAcentral's name for it is "bacterial SSU rRNA". It matches the Rfam family "Bacterial small subunit ribosomal RNA", at positions 418 to 1003 of the family's 1533-position model. Lineage: Bacteria; Pseudomonadati; Pseudomonadota; Betaproteobacteria; Burkholderiales; Burkholderiaceae. The record is from RNAcentral.
UCGGGUUGUAAAGCACUUUUGUCCGGAAAGAAAACUUCGGCCCUAAUACGGCGGGAGGAUGACGGUACCGGAAGAAUAAGCACCGGCUAACUACGUGCCUGCAGCGCGGUAAUCGUAGGGUGCGAGCGUUAAUCGGAAUUACUGGGCGUAAAGCGUGCGCAGGCGGUUCGUUAAGACAGAUGUGAAAUCCCCGGGCUUAACCUGGGAACUGCAUUUGUGACUGGCGAGCUAGAGUAUGGCAGAGGGGGGUAGAAUUCCACGUGUAGCAGUGAAAUGCGUAGAGAUGUGGAGGAAUACCGAUGGCGAAGGCAGCCCCCUGGGCCAAUACUGACGCUCAUGCACGAAAGCGUGGGGAGCAAACAGGAUUAGAUACCCUGGUAGUCCACGCCCUAAACGAUGUCAACUAGUUGUUGGGGAUUCAUUUCCUUAGUAACGUAGCUAACGCGUGAAGUUGACCGCCUGGGGAGUACGGUCGCAAGAUUAAAACUCAAAGGAAUUGACGGGGACCCGCACAAGCGGUGGAUGAAUGUGGAUUAAUUCGAUGCAACGCGAAAAACCUUACCUACCCUUGACAUGGUCGGAACCCUGCUG